RNAcentral lists this transfer RNA (78 nucleotides) under Streptomyces chartreusis. RNAcentral describes it as "tRNA-Asp". The record is from RNAcentral. Lineage: Bacteria; Bacillati; Actinomycetota; Actinomycetes; Kitasatosporales; Streptomycetaceae. RNAcentral also lists the same sequence under 1 other name.
GCGCUGGUGCAGGGCGGGGUGGCCUGGCCGUGGCUGUCGGCCCCGUCCCUGGCCCUGUUCGCCGCGGGGCUCGCGCUC